Molecule: ribosomal RNA, 167 nt
Filed under: Cordylanthus pilosus subsp. pilosus
Lineage: Eukaryota; Viridiplantae; Streptophyta; Magnoliopsida; Lamiales; Orobanchaceae
Also listed under: 1 other name
Description: 5.8S ribosomal RNA
Rfam family: 5.8S ribosomal RNA
About the family: 5.8S ribosomal RNA (5.8S rRNA) is a component of the large subunit of the eukaryotic ribosome. It is transcribed by RNA polymerase I as part of the 45S precursor that also contains 18S and 28S rRNA.
Source: RNAcentral
CAUAACGACUCUCGGCAACGGAUAUCUCGGCUCUCGCAUCGAUGAAGAACGUAGCGAAAUGCGAUACUUGGUGUGAAUUGCAGAAUCCCGUGAACCAUCGAGUCUUUGAACGCAAGUUGCGCCCGAAGCCUCCUCGGCCGAGGGCACGCCUGCCUGGGCGUCACGCA